RNAcentral lists this ribosomal RNA (275 nucleotides) under uncultured bacterium. Its description in RNAcentral is "partial 16S ribosomal RNA". It matches the Rfam family "Bacterial small subunit ribosomal RNA", at positions 338 to 605 of the family's 1533-position model. The record is from RNAcentral.
CCUACGGGUGGCUGCAGUGGGGAAUAUUGCACAAUGAGCGCAAGCUUGAUGCAGCGACGCCGCGUGAAGGAAGAAGGCUUUCGAGUCGUAAACUUCUGUUAAGUGGGAAGAAAUACUUAUGGUUAAUACCCAUAGGGGCUGACGGUACCACUAGAGAAAGCACCGGCUAACUUCGUGCCAGCAGCCGCGGUAAUACGAAGGGUGCAAGCGUUAUUCGGAGUAACUGGGCGUAAAGAGCGUGUAGGCGGUUUGUUAAGUCUGUUGUUAAAUUACUC